AUGUGGGGAGCGCUCACUUGGAGGAAUGGUCUUAUGGAGCCCUGGUGUCACGAGGCAGGCACUGUUGCCUUCUGCUGUCAGAGGCAGAGAAUCCUGAACCCUGAGAAGACACUGUGGCCCUGCGGACCUUGGCGGUCACCGGUGAACAUCUGGAAGGGAGGAGGCACCCGGGAGAAGGAGGCACCCGGGAGAAGGUGGCUAUAUUUCCCUCAAGCCCAUGUGGAUGACCGCUGGGAUGCCAGAGUCCCUGGGGCUUCACUUCCUUACAUGUCAGUCCAUUGA
Molecule: long non-coding RNA, 282 nt
Organism: Bos indicus x Bos taurus (hybrid cattle)
Lineage: Eukaryota; Metazoa; Chordata; Mammalia; Artiodactyla; Bovidae
Source: Ensembl